CGGGGUGUAGCUCAGCCUGGUAGAGUGCUUGCUUUGGGAGCAAGAUGUCGGAGGUUCGAAUCCUCUCACCCCGACCA
RNAcentral lists this transfer RNA (77 nucleotides) under Burkholderiales bacterium. RNAcentral describes it as "tRNA-Pro". It matches the Rfam family "tRNA". Rfam says of the family: Transfer RNA (tRNA) molecules are approximately 80 nucleotides in length. Lineage: Bacteria; Pseudomonadati; Pseudomonadota; Betaproteobacteria; Burkholderiales. The record is from RNAcentral. RNAcentral also lists the same sequence under 1 other name.